CCCCCCGGACGACCCGCGAACUUGUUCUUCACGCACGCCUCGGCGCGGGCGGGGCGCCCCGCGGCCCUCCCUCUCGGGGGCGGCGGCGGGCGUGCCGGCGGCGCCGACAACGAACCCCGGCGCGGGACGCGCCAAGGAGAACCCCAACGAGACGAGACGGCACGCCCCCGGCGCCCGUUCGCGGGCGACGCGGGGCGGCGGCCUCUUUCGCGAAUCGAAACGACUCUCGGCAACGGAUAUCUCGGCUCUCGCAUCGAUGAAGAACGUAGCGAAAUGCGAUACUUGGUGUGAAUUGCAGAAUCCCGUGAACCAUCGAGUCUUUGAACGCAAGUUGCGCCCGAAGCCCUCAAAGGCCGAGGGCACGCCUGCCUGGGCGUCUCGCAACGCGUCGCCCCCCCGAACCCCGCGCGCGGGCGUCGGGGGGCGGACAGUGGCCCCCCGUGAGCGGCAGCUCGCGGCCGGCCUAAAAACCGAGUCGCCGGCGACGGACGGCACGACGAGUGGUGGAAGCAUUAUUGCCACGCGCCUGCGUCGUGCCGCGCCGUCGCACCGGGCGGUCUCGCGCGACCCCGGAGCACCGACCGCGACCCCAGGUCAGGCGGGAUCACCCGCUGAGUUUAAGCAUA
RNAcentral lists this ribosomal RNA (626 nucleotides) under Eschweilera collina. RNAcentral's name for it is "eukaryotic LSU rRNA". The stretch from base 222 to 379 matches the Rfam family "5.8S ribosomal RNA". The record is from RNAcentral. Lineage: Eukaryota; Viridiplantae; Streptophyta; Magnoliopsida; Ericales; Lecythidaceae.